Molecule: ribosomal RNA, 628 nt
Filed under: Hericium erinaceus (lion's mane mushroom)
Lineage: Eukaryota; Fungi; Basidiomycota; Agaricomycetes; Russulales; Hericiaceae
Description: eukaryotic LSU rRNA
Rfam family: 5.8S ribosomal RNA (bases 201-354)
Source: RNAcentral
ACGUGGGGAAGGAUCAUUAAAGAAUUUAAAAGGAGUUGUUGGGCGCGUGAAACCCAGGCAUGCGCACGCUCCAAUCUCAUCCAUUUUACACGUGUGCCCCCGUGCGGGGGUCUGUGGGCUUUGGGGUAGAGGGGCGUGUGUUUUUCAUAAACUUUUAUGUAUGUAACAGAAUGUCAUAAUGCUAUAAACGCAUUUUAUACAACUUUCAACAACGGAUCUUUUGGCUCUCGCAUCGAUGAAGAACGCAGCGAAAUGCGAUAAGUAAUGUGAAUCGCAGAAUUCAGUGAAUCAUAGAAUCUUUGAACGCCCCUUGCGCCCCUUGGUAUUCCGAGGCGCACGCCUGUUAGAGUGUCGAGAAAUUCUCAACUCAAUCCUCGUGUUAUGAGAGGGGUGGGCUUGGACUGGGAGGUCUCGCCGGUGCUCCCUCGGGAAGUCGGCUCCUCGAGAACGCAAGAGGGGAUCCCUUUUGUAGGGUUCCCCCGGGGUGUGAUAAUUAUAUACGCCGCGGGUAGCCGUGCGUGGGUGUGUUUCUAACCGUCUUGGGACAACUUUCAUCUCAACUUGACCUCGAAUCAGGCGAUAGCCGUUCCUGAACUUAAACAUAACAAAACGGGGGGGGAGAGAAAAA